Molecule: ribosomal RNA, 460 nt
Filed under: uncultured bacterium
Lineage: Bacteria
Description: partial 16S ribosomal RNA
Rfam family: Bacterial small subunit ribosomal RNA
Source: RNAcentral
CCUACGGGAGGCAGCAGUGAGGAAUAUUGGUCAAUGGACGAGAGUCUGAACCAGCCAAGUAGCGUGAAGGAUGACUGCCCUAUGGGUUGUAAACUUCUUUUAUAUGGGAAUAAAACGUUCCACGUGUGGGAUUUUGUAUGUACCAUAUGAAUAAGGAUCGGCUAACUCCGUGCCAGCAGCCGCGGUAAUACGGAGGAUCCGAGCGUUAUCCGGAUUUAUUGGGUUUAAAGGGAGCGUAGGUGGAUUGUUAAGUCAGUUGUGAAAGUUUGCGGCUCAACCGUAAAAUUGCAGUUGAAACUGGCAGUCUUGAGUACAGUAGAGGUGUGCGGAAUGCGUGGUGUAGCGGUGAAAUGCUUAGAUAUCACGAAGAACUCCGAUUGCGAAGGCAGUUCACUGGACUGCAACUGACACUGAGGCUCGAAAGUGUGGGUAUCAAACAGGAUUAGAUACCCUAGUAGUC